This 1203-nucleotide ribosomal RNA is filed under the name uncultured Halomonas sp. RNAcentral describes it as "bacterial SSU rRNA". It matches the Rfam family "Bacterial small subunit ribosomal RNA", at positions 148 to 1352 of the family's 1533-position model. The record is from RNAcentral. Lineage: Bacteria; Pseudomonadati; Pseudomonadota; Gammaproteobacteria; Oceanospirillales; Halomonadaceae.
CUGGGGAAACCCAGGCUAAUACCGCAUACGUCCUACGGGAGAAAGGGGGCUCCGGCUCCCGCUAUCGGAUGAGCCUAUGUCGGAUUAGCUAGUUGGUGAGGUAACGGCUCACCAAGGCCACGAUCCGUAGCUGGUCUGAGAGGAUGAUCAGCCACAUCGGGACUGAGACACGGCCCGAACUCCUACGGGAGGCAGCAGUGGGGAAUAUUGGACAAUGGGGGAAACCCUGAUCCAGCCAUGCCGCGUGUGUGAAGAAGGCCCUCGGGUUGUAAAGCACUUUCAGCGAGGAAGAACGCCUAGCGGUUAAUACCCGCUAGGAAAGACAUCACUCGCAGAAGAAGCACCGGCUAACUCCGUGCCAGCAGCCGCGGUAAUACGGAGGGUGCAAGCGUUAAUCGGAAUUACUGGGCGUAAAGCGCGCGUAGGUGGCUUGAUAAGCCGGUUGUGAAAGCCCCGGGCUCAACCUGGGAACGGCAUCCGGAACUGUCAAGCUAGAGUGCAGGAGAGGAAGGUAGAAUUCCCGGUGUAGCGGUGAAAUGCGUAGAGAUCGGGAGGAAUACCAGUGGCGAAGGCGGCCUUCUGGACUGACACUGACACUGAGGUGCGAAAGCGUGGGUAGCAAACAGGAUUAGAUACCCUGGUAGUCCACGCCGUAAACGAUGUCGACCAGCCGUUGGGUGCCUAGCGCACUUUGUGGCGAAGUUAACGCGAUAAGUCGACCGCCUGGGGAGUACGGCCGCAAGGUUAAAACUCAAAUGAAUUGACGGGGGCCCGCACAAGCGGUGGAGCAUGUGGUUUAAUUCGAUGCAACGCGAAGAACCUUACCUACUCUUGACAUCCAGCGAAUYUGGUAGAGAUACCUUAGUGCCUUCGGGAACGCAGAGACAGGUGCUGCAUGGCUGUCGUCAGCUCGUGUUGUGAAAUGUUGGGUUAAGUCCCGUAACGAGCGCAACCCUUGUCCUUAUUUGCCAGCGCGUAAUGGCGGGAACUCUAAGGAGACUGCCGGUGACAAACCGGAGGAAGGUGGGGACGACGUCAAGUCAUCAUGGCCCUUACGAGUAGGGCUACACACGUGCUACAAUGGUCGGUACAAAGGGUCGCCAACUCGCGAGAGUGAGCCAAUCCCGAAAAGCCGAUCUCAGUCCGGAUCGGAGUCUGCAACUCGACUCCGUGAAGUCGGAAUCGCUAGUAAUCGUAGAUCAG